This 377-nucleotide ribosomal RNA is filed under the name uncultured bacterium. Its description in RNAcentral is "bacterial SSU rRNA". It matches the Rfam family "Bacterial small subunit ribosomal RNA", at positions 523 to 898 of the family's 1533-position model. The record is from RNAcentral.
AGACGUAGGAUGCGAGCGUUGUCCGGAUUCAUUGGGCGUAAAGAGUUCGUAGGCGGUUUGUUAAGUCUGGUGUUAAAGAUCAGGGCCCAACCCUGGGAGUGCAUUGGAUACUGGCAGACUCGAGUGCAGUAGAGGCAAGUGGAAUUCCCAGUGUAGCGGUGAAAUGCGUAGAUAUUGGGAAGAACACCGGUGGCGCAGGCGACUUGCUGGGCUGUUACUGACGCUGAGGAACGAAAGCUAGGGGAGCAAAUGGGAUUAGAUACCCCAGUAGUCCUAGCUGUAAACGAUGGAUACUAGGCGUUGCAGGUAUCGACCCCUGCAGUGCCGCAGUUAACGCGAUAAGUAUCCCGCCUGAGUAGUACGGCCGCAAGGUUGAA